CAUUAAUGGAUGUGUAUUUAAAACUUUAGAAAUAGUGAAAACUUCUGUUGUCCAAUUUGGUGUAUAACUUUUACUAAAAUUAUGUUUAUACUUUGAUAUUCUUACUUUAUCAUUAAUUUUAAAUUUUGAUUUUUUAGAUGUAUUAAUUUGUAUUAUUUUUUUUUUUUUUUUCUUAUUAUAAUCGGUUUGGUCCGAGCUUCGAGUGGUGUACAUUUCAUUGUUGAAUGUAGCAAUCUGACAUUAUUUUUAUUUUUAUUUUUUUCAUUAUAUAUGUAAGUUAUUUAAAAUUAUAAAAUAGCAUAGGUAAUCUGAUCAAAUGACCACUAUGUUCAAUUUAAUAUGGAAAACCUAAAACAAAAUGAGUGCAUUACAUUUAUUUUAUUUAUACCUAAUUAGAAAUACAUAAAUCGAUGAUCACUUUACACACUCAUACAACCUUAUUAGAUUGUAUAUAAACAGUCAGCAUACAUUGAUUAUAGAUUAUAAAUCUCAACAUUAUCUAUUAGACUUGAUGCAUCGUCGCUUCACACCGUUACUUAACCGCUACAAGACUAUAUAACAAGUAAAUACAAUGUCUUCAUACACCAUUGUAACUGAUGAAGGCUCAUCAAACGAAGAUCAGGAAAGUUCAUAUUCAGUAAAACCAGUUACACCAAAAACGAG
Long non-coding RNA from Acyrthosiphon pisum (pea aphid), 663 nucleotides. RefSeq lists it as uncharacterized. The transcript is spliced from 3 exons. The record is from RefSeq and is a predicted model, not a curated record. NCBI's taxonomy places the organism in Eukaryota, Metazoa, Arthropoda, Insecta, Hemiptera, Aphididae.